CUACGGGAGGCAGCAGUGGGGAAUAUUGCACAAUGGGCGCAAGCCUGAUGCAGCAACGCCGCGUGAGGGACGAAGGCCUUCGGGUUGUAAACCUCUUUUAGUAGGGAAGAAGCGAAAGUGACGGUACCUGCAGAAAAAGCACCGGCUAACUACGUGCCAGCAGCCGCGGUAAUACGUAGGGUGCAAGCGUUAUCCGGAAUUAUUGGGCGUAAAGAGCUCGUAGGCGGUUUGUCGCGUCUGCUGUGAAAACUGGAGGCUCAACCUCCAGCCUGCAGUGGGUACGGGCAGACUAGAGUGCGGUAGGGGAGAUUGGAAUUCCUGGUGUAGCGGUGAAACGCGCAGAUAUCAGGAGGAACACCGAUGGCGAAGGCAGAUCUCUGGGCCGUAACUGACGCUGAGGAGCGAAAGCAUGGGGAGCGAACAGGAUUAGAUACCCUGGUAGUCCAUGCCGUAAACGUUGGGAACUAGAUGUAGGGACCAUUCCACGGUUUCUGUGUCGCAGCUAACGCAUUAAGUUCCCCGCCUGGGGAGUACGGCCGCAAGGCUAAAACUCAAAGGAAUUGACGGGGG
RNAcentral lists this ribosomal RNA (570 nucleotides) under uncultured bacterium. RNAcentral's name for it is "bacterial SSU rRNA". It matches the Rfam family "Bacterial small subunit ribosomal RNA", at positions 339 to 919 of the family's 1533-position model. The record is from RNAcentral.